CAUUUCGGCGACAGUAAGGAGGAAAUCGGGGUGGGCGUGGAUGGAGAGGUGGGCAAGGGCAACGAGGGCGUGGGCAAGGCGGCGGAGGAGGGCGAGAGGGUGCUUGUGGGGGCGAACGGAGAUGUGGGCGAGGGUAAGGCAGUGGAGGAGGGCGAGGGCUGUGAGGCGGAGGAGGGCGAAGCAACAGUAGAGAGGGCGGAGGGUAUUUUUGGCAUAAAAAAUAUUUUAAACGGAACCCUAACGUAUAACUAACGGUAGGGGUUGAAGUAAACAUUUUUUGUUUUAUAAGAGGCAAAGUGCAGGUUUUUAAAUGACAGAGGGGAGAAAGUGAAAAAUCGGGUUUUGACAAGGGGUUUUCUGUAAUUUAGCUAAAUAAAAAUGCAAAAAAGCCUGGGUUAAUUACACCCACUUGUCUCCAACCUUUGCACUAUUUUUUAAUUUCGUCCCCAACCUUUCUUUUUUCACAAUCAAGUCCUUAGUCUCUCAAUUUAAUUACAAUUAAGUCCCAGCCGUCAAAAAGGUAUUAAAAUUAAUGAAAAAUGCGACGUCGACACCAUGUCAGCGCCAUGGAGGUGCUUUGUCAAUGCCAUGGAGGCACUGUGUCAUCAAAUUGCAAAAAAAAAAGGGUUGGGGACCAAAUUGAAAAACGGUGCAAAGGUUGGAAACCAAUAGUGUAAUUAACCCAUUAAAUUUAGAAAUUCAAAUCAAUAUUUUUAAUUUAAUAUUUAAAUUUUAAAUUUAAACUUUGAUUUUGAUUUUAAAUUUAAAUUCGAAUUCAAAUUUCAAUUUUGCAUUUAAUUUUUAAUUUUUAAUUCAAAUUCACAUUUUGAAUUCUAAAUUCUAAUUUAAUUUCAAACUUCGAUUUGAAAUUUCAACUUCAAAAUGUGAAGUUGAAUUCAAAGUUGAAAUUCAAAUUUAGAAUUCAAAUCAAAUCUUAAUUUCAAAUUUAAAAUUUGAAUUCAAAUUUAAAAUUUAAAAUCAAAAUUUUGAAUAUGAUUUUAAAUUUAAAUUCAGAUUUUAAAUUUAAAUUUUAGUUUCAAAACUUUCAUUUUAAAUGUAAAUUAAAAUAUCAAAAUCAAAAUCAAAAUUUUAAGUUUGAAUUCAAAAUUUAGAUUCAAUUUAAAAUUUGAAUUUCAAUUCAGCUUUAAAUUCAAAUUUAAAAUUUUAAUUUCUCGUUAGUUUAAAAUUUUAAUUUUAACAUUAUUUUUGAAUUUAAACUUAAAAUUUUGAAGUUUUAUUUUUAUGGACUAAAGUGAAAAACAUGCAAAGUUUAUGAACCAAAAUUAAUGUGCAAAAGAUGCCAAAUAGGUGCUAACGUGGCGAUUCUGUUAAUUUUAACAGUUUUUUUAAUGGCUGGGACGUAAUUGCAAUAAAAUUAAAAGAUUAAGGACUCAAUUGCAAAAAAAGAAAGGUUGGGGACCCAAGUAAAAAUUGGUGCAAAGGUUGGGGACCACUGGUGUAAUUAACCUAGAAAAGCCCUGAAAUAAUCCAAGAACUCACCAAAUCAACGAAAAUCCACGGUUUCGAGUGUGCAGAAACUACUUUUGGGUGUCUGAAUUAUGGUGUUCCGAAAGGUUAGCUAUCGGAAUAACUACAGUAUCAGCAGCUGGUCGACACAUUUAUAGAGUGUCGGGACGAGUCGGAGUCGUUUCGGCAUGAAAUGGAUGUGAAAACGGACUCGGAGCACCGAAUUCAGCUAAAACUGAAGUUUUAAAGUUUUAGGGUGUGUCACGCUCCGGGGUCCCUUUUGUCGGAUCGUUGGCGCUAACCAUUAAUCCAAAAAGCUCGAGCUGUUAGAAAUACGCAACCAAUUCACUUAAAGCGUACAGAAACAGCGCCCACGGGUCUCGAUUGUGACUCGGCCCACCUGGCCUCACGCCACUUCGAACAUGACUCGGCCCAACCCAGCCUCACGCCAUUUCGAACAUGACUCAGCCCACAUGGCCUCCCGCCACAGGGCAGGAUGCUGGCCUAUUUAAGCCAACACCUUUUUGAUUUAAAAAUAACGCGGAAGCGCCCAAAUUUUUUUUUUUAAAAAAAAACCUGACCCCCGGGGUAUGCCAGAUCCGCCAUAAAUACAUAGAGUCUACUAUUCACACGGACAGAGUCUCCCCUGUAUUUCCACGACGUCGCACAAGUACAAGAUACAUAAACGGAUACAACCACUACAACUAAAUAUACAAACAUUCAACAUUCAUACAUUCAUACAUCAUUCACUAACAGAUUCACAUUCAGAGUUUAUUCAGAAAUCCAUAACUAUUAGUUUAAAAUGUUUUCUAUCCGGAAACUCAUUUUGAAAUACUAAUUUAUGAAAACCACGAGAAAACCUUUUCAAAAUCGUUUCCCAUACGGAGAUCCUUUUUCUUUAAAACACGCUACCACGAGGGGUAGAAAACCAUUUUCGUUUCAAAGAAAACCGUAAGUUCUUUAAUUCAUUUACCAAAAUCACAUUUAUCCAAGUAAACAAAAGCCAUUAAACCAAUAUAUCUAAAUCAUAUCAUCAGAAAUAAAAAGGGUAGCAACUAAACAAAACAAACCGGGUCGGAAGUUCUAUCGACCGCUACGAAUGUGUCUCACAUCUCGUCUCAACCCUCACCGUCCGCAAUAC
This 2608-nucleotide long non-coding RNA is filed under the name Ananas comosus (pineapple). Its description in RNAcentral is "long non-coding RNA (ACOM_LNC010086)". Lineage: Eukaryota; Viridiplantae; Streptophyta; Magnoliopsida; Poales; Bromeliaceae. The record is from RNAcentral.